Molecule: long non-coding RNA, 126 nt
Organism: Juglans microcarpa x Juglans regia
Lineage: Eukaryota; Viridiplantae; Streptophyta; Magnoliopsida; Fagales; Juglandaceae
Exons: 2
Source: RefSeq, a predicted model, not a curated record
UCAUUUGUUGGGGGUAUUUGUUAUCUUCUAUACAUUUUUUCUUGUCCAUAGAUCUCGUGUUUGGUAAUUUUCAUCUGUAGAAAUAGAAAAUGGGUAAAAACAAGGUCUUUGACGAUGAAGAAGAAA